Molecule: transfer RNA, 72 nt
Filed under: Camelus bactrianus (Bactrian camel)
Lineage: Eukaryota; Metazoa; Chordata; Mammalia; Artiodactyla; Camelidae
Also listed under: 2 other names
Rfam family: tRNA
About the family: Transfer RNA (tRNA) molecules are approximately 80 nucleotides in length. Their secondary structure includes four short double-helical elements and three loops (D, anti-codon, and T loops).
Source: Rfam by way of RNAcentral
GGUGGGGAGGCUCAGUGGCAGAGCACAUGCAUGGCAGGCAGGAGGUCCUGGGUUCAGUUCUCAGUGCUUCCA